AAACUAAGCUAGGUACACAUGCGAGGGAAUAAAAAGAACAAGCUGUGAGGAAAAUAAUAACAAGCAUCCACCACUUUAAGCAUAACAAGAGAAGAAAGCUAUUGUCUGCACGCACACCUCUGGGAUUGAGUGUGUUCUGGUGUCCAACACCCAAUAUCCAUAUGUACUACCUGUGUCUAACAACUCAGUAAAGUGUUCAAAAAAAAAAUUGCCUGGGCACUCCUUGGACACAUCUCAGACUAGUUUAGGGAUUAAAAAUGUGUUGAACCAAUGAUGACCAAUGAGGGGAUUAAAGAAAUCAAAUUUUAUUACAUUAUUUUUCGCUUUUCA
RNAcentral lists this long non-coding RNA (330 nucleotides) under Trifolium pratense (red clover). Its description in RNAcentral is "long non-coding RNA (TPRA_LNC010443)". The record is from RNAcentral. Lineage: Eukaryota; Viridiplantae; Streptophyta; Magnoliopsida; Fabales; Fabaceae.